GGUUCAUGGCGAGCUGAUGCAGCACGCCGCGUGCGGGAUGACGGCCUUCGGGUUGUAAACCGCUUUCGCCUGUGACGAAGCGUGAGUGACGGUAAUGGGUAAAGAAGCACCGGCUAACUACGUGCCAGCAGCCGCGGUGAUACGUAGGGUGCGAGCGUUGUCCGGAUUUAUUGGGCGUAAAGGGCUCGUAGGUGGUUGAUCGCGUCGGAAGUGUAAUCUUGGGGCUUAACCCUGAGCGUGCUUUCGAUACGGGUUGACUUGAGGAAGGUAGGGGAGAAUGGAAUUCCUGGUGGAGCGGUGGAAUGCGCAGAUAUCAGGAGGAACACCAGUGGCGAAGGCGGUUCUCUGGGCCUUUCCUGACGCUGAGGAGCGAAAGCGUGGGGAGCGAACAGGCUUAUAUACCCUGGUAGUCCACGCUGUAAACGGUGGGUACUAGGUGUGGGGUCCAUUCCACGGGUUCCGUGCCGUAGCUAACGCUUUAAGUACCCCGCCUGGGGAGUACGGCCGCAAGGCUAAAACUCAAAGAAUUUUGACGGACGAUGAUUUGACGGA
This 552-nucleotide ribosomal RNA is filed under the name uncultured bacterium. RNAcentral's name for it is "bacterial SSU rRNA". It matches the Rfam family "Bacterial small subunit ribosomal RNA", at positions 373 to 936 of the family's 1533-position model. The record is from RNAcentral.